RNAcentral lists this ribosomal RNA (465 nucleotides) under uncultured bacterium. Its description in RNAcentral is "partial 16S ribosomal RNA". It matches the Rfam family "Bacterial small subunit ribosomal RNA", at positions 28 to 507 of the family's 1533-position model. The record is from RNAcentral.
GACGAACGCUGGCGGCGUGCUUAACACAUGCAAGUCGAACGGAAAGGCCCUGCUUGCAGGGUACUCGAGUGGCGAACGGGUGAGUAACACGUGGGUGAUCUGCCCUGCACUUCGGGAUAAGCCUGGGAAACUGGGUCUAAUACCGGAUAGGAGCCAUUUUUAGUGUGAUGGUUGGAAAGUUUUUUCGGUGUAGGAUGAGCUCGCGGCCUAUCAGCUUGUUGGUGGGGUAAUGGCCUACCAAGGCGGCGACGGGUAGCCGGCCUGAGAGGGUGGACGGCCACAUUGGGACUGAGAUACGGCCCAGACUCCUACGGGAGGCAGCAGUGGGGAAUAUUGCACAAUGGGCGCAAGCCUGAUGCAGCGACGCCGCGUGGGGGAGGACGGCCUUCGGGUUGGAAACUCCUUUCGCUAGGGACGAAGCUUUUUGUGACGGUACCUAGAUAAGAAGCACCGGCUAACUACGUG